UUGCAGUGCUGAAGUACAAGAUUUCCUACAAUGAAGGGGAUACAGUGGACUUCUAUCAGUGAAAAGUGCAUAGAUGCAGGAGAAGGAGACCCUUGGGGUCUGAUGACUGGAGCAAAGGCACUCUUCUGUUUGACAGCAGGAAAGACGGAAGAGGAGAAUGGGAGGAUGGAAGAAGUGCUGGAGGAGCCAACUGUUGGACUUGAAGACAUUACUGCAAGAGAAGAAAAAGUUAUUCCUCAUCAGAGAUACAAUUAGACACGUUUGGUAUUGCCUUAAAUGUCUGUCCUGUUGGCUUGGCUGCUUGAGGUAUGUCUAAAGUAGAGAGGUAGGUAGUUAUAUUGAAUAGCUAGUUCAAAAGAAGAUAUGUCUAAUUAGCCUAAACUGUAAGAAGAACUAACCAAUAUUUCUUGUGUUUUCAAAGGAAUCCCCAGGUCUCAUUAAGUAGUAGUUAGAAAUAAGAAUAACAGUAUGCUGCAGACUUGGUCCUUUCCUUAAUGAAGUCUUACAGAGGGAAAUCAAGGGGAUCCUGUUGGAGAGCCGUUAAUGAAACCAGGGGAGCCUGGAACGCCCAGGUUGGACAUGGGGACGUUGCUGUAGCCGUUCAUGCUAUUGCUGGAAGUGCUAUAAUUGGACUGUUGAGGUGUGGAACUGGAUGAGUAACCGCGGGGUGAGAUGCUGCUUGUAUUACGAAUGUAACCUAAAAAUAAAACACAUUUCAUCGAAUGCCAAGGAAUGAAUUUAGCUUAAAACUUUCUUCUGUAUAAAUAAAAAAAAAUAA
RNAcentral lists this long non-coding RNA (778 nucleotides) under Gallus gallus (chicken). RNAcentral describes it as "long non-coding RNA NONGGAT005006". The record is from RNAcentral. Lineage: Eukaryota; Metazoa; Chordata; Aves; Galliformes; Phasianidae.